Oncorhynchus gorbuscha (pink salmon) is the source of this 580-nucleotide long non-coding RNA. RefSeq lists it as uncharacterized. The record is from RefSeq and is a predicted model, not a curated record. The transcript has 4 exons. NCBI's taxonomy places the organism in Eukaryota, Metazoa, Chordata, Actinopteri, Salmoniformes, Salmonidae.
GGACAGAAAGACAGAGACAGAGAGAGACAGAGAGAUGAGGGGAGUGAGAAGAAAAGCGAGAGAGAGAGAGAGAGAGAGAGAGAGAGAGAGAGGAGAGAGAGAAGGAAAUCUGUAUUCAUGUAAGGAGUUUUGACAAGAAGACAACAGCCGUGUAUGAUAAUGGAUGCAGGUCAGCGUUUGACACGAACUCCUGACGAAACCAGAAGCACCAGCAACACAGAUAUCUCAGAGUGUGAACCAACAUCCACCCUGCUUUCUAAACCUGCUGUUGGCGAUACAGCAGGUGUUUGUGCAGUGCUCUCUGCUGGUUCUGGUCCUCGGUGUGUUGCAGCAACAUCUACUGUUACAGGAUGGAGAGAGAGAGAGGUUACUGUCCUCCAUGUUGUUCUACUCCGCUCUCUCCACUCUGAUACAGAGCUGUCUGGGGACAUGCCUCCCUCUGGUCCAGGCUCCAUCUCUGGAAACCCUGAUUCCUGCUGUAGUCCUCACUGCCCAGAUUGUUACUGAACCGGCCUGCAGAGGGCACUGUGAGGAGAGUGAGGAGGAUAUCCUGCCCAGAGCCAACCCAGUCAGAGAGGUA